Molecule: long non-coding RNA, 146 nt
Organism: Dermochelys coriacea (leatherback sea turtle)
Lineage: Eukaryota; Metazoa; Chordata; Testudines; Dermochelyidae
Exons: 3
Source: RefSeq, a predicted model, not a curated record
UAGGGAGGUUGUGGAAGGUCCAUCACUGGAGAUUUUUAAGAGCAGUUUAGAGAAACACCUGUCAGGGAUGGUCUAGACAAUAUCUAGUCCUGCCGUGAGUCCAGGGGACUGAACUAGAUGACCUCUUGAGGACUGUUUCUGUUGAG